GCCUUUGUGGUGUAACGGUAGCACACUCGGCGCGUAUUCAAGAGGUCCAGGUUCGAGUCCCGGCAAGGGCA
RNAcentral lists this transfer RNA (71 nucleotides) under Stegodyphus mimosarum. It matches the Rfam family "tRNA". Rfam says of the family: Transfer RNA (tRNA) molecules are approximately 80 nucleotides in length. Their secondary structure includes four short double-helical elements and three loops (D, anti-codon, and T loops). Further hydrogen bonds mediate the characteristic L-shaped molecular structure. tRNAs have two regions of fundamental functional importance: the anti-codon, which is responsible for specific mRNA codon recognition, and the 3' end, to which the tRNAs corresponding amino acid is attached (by aminoacyl-tRNA synthetases). tRNAs cope with the degeneracy of the genetic code in two manners: having more than one tRNA (with a specific anti-codon) for a particular amino acid; and 'wobble' base-pairing, i.e. permitting non-standard base-pairing at the 3rd anti-codon position. Lineage: Eukaryota; Metazoa; Arthropoda; Arachnida; Araneae; Eresidae. The record is from Rfam by way of RNAcentral.